This 253-nucleotide ribosomal RNA is filed under the name uncultured bacterium. RNAcentral's name for it is "partial 16S ribosomal RNA". It matches the Rfam family "Bacterial small subunit ribosomal RNA", at positions 524 to 776 of the family's 1533-position model. The record is from RNAcentral.
GACGGAGGGGGCUAGCGUUGUUCGGAAUUACUGGGCGUAAAGCGCACGUAGGCGGCCUUUCAAGUUAGAUGUGAAAGCCCCGGGCUUAACCCGGGAAUUGCAUUUGAUACUGUUAGGCUUGAGACCGGGAGAGGAUAGCGGAAUUCCCAGUGUAGAGGUGAAAUUCGUAGAUAUUGGGAAGAACACCAGUGGCGAAGGCGGCUAUCUGGACCGGUACUGACGCUGAGGUGCGAAAGCGUGGGGAGCAAACAGG